UGAUUAACUUUUCCCUGAAAUGUUUUAGGUUCUGAUUUGCUACUGGCCCCGUAGAAACGCUGCUGCCAUGGCAAAGGCCUCCCAAAGGCCAGAUAAGGAGCUCUGGAAGCGGCACAAAAUAAGAAUACUCUCCGAGACUGGUGAGAAAACUGAAUAAAUAUAUAGUCAUAUGGAGGUACACUCCCUUUUACAUAGUAAAAUGAUUACAAAAACUAAAAAGACAACUCAAAUUUACUCUGUCCUUAGACAACUAUAAGACAGCCAGAGAGCGAGCCAAAAAAGCUGUAGAAAGUUCAAACGUGGACACAGAAGAAGAGGUGCUAAAAGAGCGGAAAAAAAAGGUACCAUCAAAAUACUGGACAGAGAGUGAAGGUAAACACACGCGAUUGCUUUUUGUCAUGCAUUACUCCGCUGUUUAUGUAUAAAAAUCAUGCCAUAUGCCAUGCAGAGAAAACUACUGUAUAAAACUAAACUAUAUAUAAACUGUUUCAUCCUGAAUUAAUAGGAGAAUGUGAGAUUCCUACCAAAAAAAGGAGAAAAAUGUCCACAUCCUCUCAAAAGCCAUCAAGCCUCCCAAAGCCUCCAAGUUACAAACCACCUACUGACAUCACAAUCACAGCUCACUCACCUGAGGAAGAUGAGCCAUCCCUGCCAAAUCUUUCAGCUAAUAAUACUUUCCAUGAUUUCCAGCAUCUCAUCGAGCAAUCUGAGCAGCGGAUGCUCCUCGCAAUAGAGAGAAUGUCGACAGAUAUUUCAAAUUCUAUUGAGCGUCUGGUCCAGACUAUUCAACAGAAUCAUCCUGGUCCGGCAACCAUCACAACACCACCACAGGAGACCAUUGAGAGGCCCUGCAAAACAGUGCAGGAGCUGCAAGCUUUCAUAUUAAAACUUGAGGGCCCAGAAGGGAAAAAGGAUGGUAUGUUGAUAUAG
Cyprinus carpio carpio is the source of this 930-nucleotide long non-coding RNA. The record is from Ensembl. Lineage: Eukaryota; Metazoa; Chordata; Actinopteri; Cypriniformes; Cyprinidae.